UAGUGCUCUUGGACACUGAGAA
RNAcentral lists this unclassified non-coding RNA (22 nucleotides) under Mus musculus (house mouse). RNAcentral's name for it is "oocyte_clustered_small_RNA1427". The record is from RNAcentral. Lineage: Eukaryota; Metazoa; Chordata; Mammalia; Rodentia; Muridae.